This 2319-nucleotide long non-coding RNA is filed under the name Homo sapiens (human). RNAcentral describes it as "HSALNT0405133". Lineage: Eukaryota; Metazoa; Chordata; Mammalia; Primates; Hominidae. The record is from RNAcentral.
CCGCCCCCAAGUCAACACGGACUUCCCUCCCUGCGCGCCAGAACUUUGCGUUGUUCUUAGUGGCAUCUGGGGUCGAGGAGGGCGACUGUCAGCCAGUUGGGGGAUGUUUUCUUCUUGGUCUCUCGGCUUCUGCUUCCCUGUGAGCUGGGCAGCCUCAGCCCAGGUCCUAUCCGGUACUCAGCUGGCCUCGGUGUGCACAGCGCAGGCUUGAGUGCAGCCGUGGGGGCGGGCGGGGCAGAAGCAGGGCCCCUGGGAACAGCUGAGUCUGAAGGGUCAGAAGCCACGGCCCCUGUGGGGGGCUCUGGGGCAGCCAGGGGAGCUGCUCGUUAGUCGUCUCUGGGGCAGAAGGAAGGGACCUUCACCUGGGUUGGGACUGGGCCUGGGUCCCCAGUCUCACAGGGAGCUCGUCCUGAUUGUACCUGCCCGGCUGUGACGGCUGAGCCCGGGCUCCUGGAGGCAAGGCCACCUCAGGCCUCCAGGGCCGGAGCCGCAAGGAGCUGCUGGGUUUCCACAGGGCCACGGGGGCUGCGGCCACACGGAGCGGGAGCACAGGUGGGAAGGGUGUCUGUGAAAAAUGAAAUCUGUUGCCGCUUCCUCUAGCUUAAUUACUGGCAUGGUGGUUGCAGAGUUGAAAUGCAGCUUUAAAAGCCUUUGUGAGUAAUUAGUGUCAAACACACAAGAUCUACAAAGCCAUAAACUCACAGCUUGGUGAUAUUACCAAGUACUAAUUAAGAAAGAAAAAAGAAAAUUCCCUUUCAUGAUCAAAUUUUGAGCCCUGCCAAAGAUGAAAAACAAGGCAAUUUGCAGCCGAUGGCGACGCCGGAGGGUAAGUGGCGUCCACAGGAAGAUGGCGGCCGAGCGCGGCGAGCAGGCAGGGUCUGGUUGAGGGCUGGGGUGGUGACGGCGUGAUUGUGCCUGGCUACCGGGUUCUCAGCCAGGCAGCACCUGAUUCCCAGGAGAGAUGGAAUCCCAGCUCAGAAAGGGGAGACUCAUGCGAGGGCAGAGGCAAGGCACCCGCCCAGAAGGAUUGGGGGUCUCCCCAUUUCACAGGUGGGGACACUGAAGCUGAGCUCACAGCCAGGAGAGGGACAGCAGAGUGACGGCCGAGACCAUCUGCACUGCGAGGGAAGCAGCGCCCACCUUCCUUGGUGGUCCGGGAAGGCCGGACCGGCCCCUUGGGUCCCCACUGGCCUCAGCCACUGUGGGCUCGUCCAGCUUCAGGCCACCAGGCCCUCGGGUUCCAAGAUGCAGCUACUGGAGACAGAGUUCUCGCACACCGUGGGCGAGCUCAUCGAGGUGCACCUGCGGCGCCAGGACAGCAUCCCUGCCUUCCUCAGCUCGCUCACCCUCGAGCUCUUCAGCCUCCAGACCGUGGCGUAGCCUGCGCCUCGGGGGCAUAGCCAGAGCCACUCUACUUGGCCUGACCUGCAGGUCCCUUGCCCCGCCAGCCACAGGCUGGGUGCACGUCCUGCCUCUCCAGCUCCACAGGGCAGCGGCAUGACUGACAGACACGCUGGGACCUACGUCGGGCUUCCUGCUGGGGCGGCCAGCACCCUCCCCACGUGCAGACCCCAUGCGUCCCGGAGCCUGGUGUGUGGGCGUCGGCCACCAGCCCGGGCUCCUCACCUUGUGAAAUAAAAUCUUCUCCCCUAGACACUCCCACUCGCCCUGUGUAUCUGUGGCCUAGCCCUAGCAGGGUAGGCGGGAGGAGGGGAAGGAGCUCCCUCAGCAGCCGCCGCCAUCUGCAGACCGGACAACGUUAGGGUGAGUCAGGCAUUUCCGCUCAGGGAGUGCACAGGUGGCAGCUGGGACCAAGGGUGGCUGGGGUGCCCCCCCACCACCAUGGGCUGAGGCCCCUCCGCGUAGCAGCUUCCAGCUCUGCCUCAAGGCCGGGCCCCAGCUCUGGGGCUUCCCUUUGCUGAUGGAACCCGGAUGGAGGCACAGGGGCUGGGGGGACUGUCCUCACAGAUAAGGGUGCAUCGAGGAGAGACUGCCCUCUGUGCCCAUCUCUCCAGGGCCAUAGAAAUACAUUCCAUAGACCUAAGCAGUAUUUGAAUUUUUAUAACAAUAGCAUAUGUGUUUCUUAUGUGAUUUACUAGAAACAAUUUAAUUUCUCGAGUUGUAAAAAGGUGUAUUUUAAACCUGUGUAAAGGUACCUGGAGAUCAUUGUCAUUCAGAAUAACAAAAUAAAACAGCAAUAUAAAAACACAGAUAUUAUCAUAGUACAAUGUUAAAUACUAUAAUAUUCAAGAUGAUAUUAAAAUUACAUAUAUCUACAUCUAUAUGCAUAUAAGGAUGUCAAUAAAUGAUAUUAAUGUC